RNAcentral lists this long non-coding RNA (240 nucleotides) under Salvia miltiorrhiza (redroot sage). RNAcentral describes it as "long non-coding RNA (SMIL_LNC009768)". Lineage: Eukaryota; Viridiplantae; Streptophyta; Magnoliopsida; Lamiales; Lamiaceae. The record is from RNAcentral.
GAAAACUGGAGUCUGAAUUUGGACAAGUAGUCUUAAUAAAAGUUGUACUUCGUCUCGAUAGGAGUUCGUAGGUGCAAACGGUUUGCAAAUCCGAGUUCGGACGAGAAAGAUAUGGCCAGAACAAGAAAGUCGCGCGCAGCAGUGAAUAGUGUCCGACGGGAAUUUCCGAAUUUUCGGGAAUUUUCGGGAUUUUCGGAUUUUAUCAGUAUUUUCGAGUUCUACACUGUAUUUAUCUCCUGU